GAAUUUUGGGCAAUGGCCGAAAGGCUGACCCAGCGACGCCGCGUGCGGGAGGACGCCCUUCGGGGUGUAAACCGCUGUCAGAGGGGACGAAUGGCCCAGGCGGGAAUACUGUCUGGGUGUGACGGUACCCUCAGCGGACGCACCGGCUACCUCUGUGCCAGCAGCCGCGGUAAUACAGAGGGUGCGAGCGUUGUUCGGAAUCACUGGGCGUAAAGCGCGCGCAGGCGGGACUUGCAAGUCGGGAGUGAAAGGCCGGGGCUCAACCCCGGAGCUGCUUUCGAGACUGCGGACCUGGAGACCAGUAGGGGUUGGUGGAAUUCCCGGUGUAGCGGUGGAAUGCGUAGAUAUCGGGAAGAACACCCGUGGCGAAGGCGGCCAACUGGGCUGGAUCUGACGCUGAGGCGCGAAAGCGUGGGGAGCAAACAG
RNAcentral lists this ribosomal RNA (426 nucleotides) under uncultured bacterium. RNAcentral's name for it is "bacterial SSU rRNA". It matches the Rfam family "Bacterial small subunit ribosomal RNA", at positions 359 to 775 of the family's 1533-position model. The record is from RNAcentral.